UUAGGCAACGCCCCACGGAGGGGCAGAUCAAGACGCGGAGGACCAGGCGGGGCGGGAGGAAAUCAAGAGGGACGCAUACAGACACGCUCCCAGACUCACUGAAUUGUCUACAAGCUGACGAGGAAACCCUCUCACUAUGUCAGCUUGCUCACCAUUGGAAAUCUCCUGCAGCCUCUCAUCCCUCUAUGCUUCCAUGUCACUGAACCAACUUUGUGCAGUGUUAUAAAUUGAGAUACUUGUACUUAUGAUUCUGUGCACUUGAAUACUGUGGUACAUACGAACGAUGUAUAAUAUGCCGCUUGUGCCCCCAUGCAUAUGUGAAUGUUAUAGGUGAUACCUGAUAUAUACCAAAUGUAAAUACCGCACGGCCUGAGUACUCUGUGAUAUGCUACAUAGAGGAUUUACGCAUUUUUCAAACAAAAUUAUUAUACCAAUGGCAUAG
This is a long non-coding RNA of Bufo gargarizans (Asiatic toad), 442 nucleotides long. RefSeq lists it as uncharacterized. The record is from RefSeq and is a predicted model, not a curated record. NCBI's taxonomy places the organism in Eukaryota, Metazoa, Chordata, Amphibia, Anura, Bufonidae. The transcript is spliced from 3 exons.